This is a non-coding RNA of Phalacrocorax carbo (great cormorant), 2728 nucleotides long. NCBI's taxonomy places the organism in Eukaryota, Metazoa, Chordata, Aves, Suliformes, Phalacrocoracidae. The record is from RefSeq and is a predicted model, not a curated record.
GGGUGUUUUCUCUCCCCCCCCCCCCCCCGCGCCGGGAGCUCCAGGCGGCUCCCGUACGGCUCCCGGGGCCUUCCCCCCUCGGGGGGCUCGGCCCGCCCCUUUCGCGGGGCGCUGUGGGAAGGGCGGGGGCGGGGCCCGGGGGUCGAAGAGCCCCAGCCGGGGCUCGGGCAGCUCUCGCUGCCCCCGGGGCUCCCGUGUUCCCUCGGGCGGUCGCAGCUCUGGGGCUGUCUCAGCCCCCCGGGCAGGCGUGCUCUGGCGUUUAGAGAAGCGGAGGCGUUGCCUGAGGUGCAGAUGGAUGAGUCGUGCAGGGCAACGGAGGAGAGCCCAGGGGAGCGCUGUAAGAAGGUGACAGCCCUGCGAUGCUGCGGUGCCUGCGAGGUGAUGCCGCCGUGCUCGUUGCUGCUUCCUGGUAAGGAAAGGCCUCCUCCGCUCCUGCUGCAGCGUGGUGGUGUGUCGGACACGAUUCCCUGUGUCGGGUGAGGCCUAGGGCUGCCGGCGAGGUGGAGGAUGGCCUAGAGUCUGGAGCUGCAGAAGAGGCAGGGCGGAGAGGAGGGGAAAGAAGCAUCUGAACGGCUAAAUUGUGCCAGCAGCGCUGAGAGCGAGAGUCGCGAGACCGUGCUGAGGACGUGGUUGUCUGUCCUUCCCCCGGGGAUGCCGUUGACUGCAGCCGUCUCAGGCUUGCGUGGCUUCUCUCUGCCCGGCGUUGCCAUCCUCGCAGCGCGGGGGCGAAAAGGGACACACAGAGCCCUUCCCGGCUGUGGACAGGAGCUGCCUCGGCUGAAGCUGGAGACGCCAACGAAAGGUGGAGGACGGCCUAGAGUCUGGAGCUGCAGAAGAGGCAGGGCGGAGAGGAGGGGAAAGAAGCAUCUGAACGGCUAAAUUGUGCCAGCAGCGCUGAGAGCGAGAGUCGCGGUGCAGGUGGAUGAGUCGUGCAGGGCAACGGAGGAGAGCCCAGGGGAGCGCUGUAAGAAGGUGACAGCCCUGCGAUGCUGCGGUGCCUGCGAGGUGAUGCCGCCGUGCUCGUUGCUGCUUCCUGGUAAGGAAAGGCCUCCUCCGCUCCUGCUGCAGCGUGGUGGUGUGUCGGACACGAUUCCCUGUGUCGGGUGAGGCCUAGGGCUGCCGGUGAGGUGGAGGAUGGCCUAGAGUCUGGAGCUGCAGAAGAGGCAGGGCGGAGAGGAGGGGAAAGAAGCAUCUGAACGGCUAAAUUGUGCCAGCAGCGCUGAGAGCGAGAGUCGCGGUGCAGGUGGAUGAGUCGUGCAGGGCAACGGAGGAGAGCCCAGGGGAGCGCUGUAAGAAGGUGACAGCCCUGCGAUGCUGCGGUGCCUGCGAGGUGAUGCCGCCGUGCUCGUUGCUGCUUCCUGGUAAGGAAAGGCCUCCUCCGCUCCUGCUGCAGCGUGGUGGUGUGUCGGACACGAUUCCCUGUGUCGGGUGAGGCCUAGGGCUGCCGGUGAGGUGGAGGAUGGCCUAGAGUCUGGAGCUGCAGAAGAGGCAGGGCGGAGAGGAGGGGAAAGAAGCAUCUGAACGGCUAAAUUGUGCCAGCAGCGCUGAGAGCGAGAGUCGCGAGACCGUGCUGAGGACGUGGUUGUCUGUCCUUCCCCCGGGGAUGCCGUUGACUGCGGCCGUCUCAGGCUUGCGUGGCUUCUCUCUGCCCGGCGUUGCCAUCCUCGCAGCGCGGGGGCGAAAAGGGACACACAGAGCCCUUCCCGGCUGUGGACAGGAGCUGCCUCGGCUGAAGCUGGAGACGCCAACGAAAGGUGGAGAACGGCCUAGAGUCUGGAGCUGCAGAAGAGGCAGGGCGGAGAGGAGGGGAAAGAAGCAUCUGAACGGCUAAAUUGUGCCAGCAGCGCUGAGAGCGAGAGUCGCGAUGUCUUCUCAGUGUCUCGUGAUGCUCAAGAGAUGCCCCCCGGCCCGGGUUUGCCUGCCGGUCGUUAAGCGUGGUGAAGGGCAACUUCUGUUCCCGAGGUGGUGCCUACAGUACAGCUAUCUCUUCGAAGGCAGUUUGGUUUAGGUCAGAGAAUGUUUAGCCUGGACUGAAUCAGCCUCUGUUUCUAUUUCUGGAAAUCGUCGGUCCUGUGCAUCAAGCCCGGAAAAAAGGAAAUAUGAACCAAAGGACCUGGGGCCUGCAGGGCUAGGAAAAUAUUUGAGAAGAGGUUCAGCGGGGAAAUGACUGUUUGUCUGUGGGGCGUCCAGGCAAGCAACCCAGCUGCUAGAAAGCGGCGCUGUCCCCAGGAUGGCCUCGGCGGUCCCGUCGGAGUCGGGGGAACAAGGACAAGGCAGGGUGAAGCAUCUGGCCUGCCGUGUGGACCGUGACUGUACAAAGCACGUGUGAUGCACUGCAAGUUUACCUGUUUAAACUGUGAGUUAAAGAAGGUGUGCAGUUGCUUUGUAAACAGCCGACGCUCUAAAGCUACACCCAUCUAAUUGCUAGCUGUAUUAAAUCUAUCGUAUUGCUGUUUCUGCAUUAAAAAAGAAAAAAACCAACACACCUAUGUAAGCACGUCUAAGUACAAUGGAAAACCACUGUUUAACGCGUGGCAUGUGCGGGUGGUUUUUUUGGGGCGGGGGGGUGGGGUGUAUGACAAAAACCUGCGAGAGACACACGCACACACGCACAUGUCAUGUUUAGCGCUCACCUAAACCCAAAAAAGAAAAUCCACUCUUUAUUUUGCAGCAUUAGCAUUAGCUUCCAGCGCACAGCCUGAGCGCGCACCUCUGCUCUCACCGUCUG